Molecule: ribosomal RNA, 404 nt
Filed under: Actinomycetes bacterium
Lineage: Bacteria; Bacillati; Actinomycetota; Actinomycetes
Description: Actinobacteria bacterium partial 16S ribosomal RNA
Rfam family: Bacterial small subunit ribosomal RNA
Source: RNAcentral
UGGGGAAUAUUGGACAAUGGGCGCAAGCCUGAUCCAGCCAUGCCGCGUGAGUGAUGAAGGCCCUAGGGUUGUAAAGCUCUUUCACCGGUGAAGAUAAUGACGGUAACCGGAGAAGAAGCCCCGGCUAACUUCGUGCCAGCAGCCGCGGUAAUACGAAGGGGGCUAGCGUUGUUCGGAUUUACUGGGCGUAAAGCGCACGUAGGCGGACUUUUAAGUCAGGGGUGAAAUCCCGGGGCUCAACCCCGGAACUGCCUUUGAUACUGGAAGUAUUGAGUAUGGUAGAGGUGAGUGGAAUUCCGAGUGUAGAGGUGAAAUUCGUAGAUAUUCGGAGGAACACCAGUGGCGAAGGCGGCUCACUGGACCAUUACUGACGCUGAGGUGCGAAAGCGUGGGGAGCAAACAGG